ACUACUAGUAAGCAGCCGCGGUAAUACGUAGGGUGCAAGCGUUAUCCGGAAUUAUUGGGCGUAAAGAGCUCGUAGGCGGUUUGUCGCGUCUGCUGUGAAAUCCCGAGGCUCAACCUCGGGCCUGCAGUGGGUACGGGCAGACUAGAGUGCGGUAGGGGAGAUUGGAAUUCCUGGUGUAGCGGUGGAAUGCGCAGAUAUCAGGAGGAACACCGAUGGCGAAGGCAGAUCUCUGGGCCGUAACUGACGCUGAGGAGCGAAAGGGUGGGGAGCAAACAGGCUUAGAUACCCUGGUAGUCCACCCCGUAAACGUUGGGAACUAGUUGUGGGGUCCUUUCCACGGAUUCCGUGACGCAGCUAACGCAUUAAGUUCCCCGCCUGGGGAGUACGGCCGCAAGGCUAAAACUCAAAGGAAUUGACGGGGACCCGCACAAGCGGCGGAGCAUGCGGAUUAAUUCGAUGCAACGCGAAGAACCUUACCAAGGCUUGACAUACACCA
Molecule: ribosomal RNA, 496 nt
Filed under: Microbacterium sp.
Lineage: Bacteria; Bacillati; Actinomycetota; Actinomycetes; Micrococcales; Microbacteriaceae
Description: bacterial SSU rRNA
Rfam family: Bacterial small subunit ribosomal RNA
Source: RNAcentral